RNAcentral lists this ribosomal RNA (863 nucleotides) under uncultured archaeon. RNAcentral's name for it is "bacterial SSU rRNA". It matches the Rfam family "Archaeal small subunit ribosomal RNA", at positions 39 to 909 of the family's 1478-position model. The record is from RNAcentral.
UGAUACUAAGCCAUGCGAGUCAUUGUAGUAAUACAAGGCAGACGGCUCAGUAACGCGUAGUCAACCUACCCUAUGGACGGGAAUAACCUCGGGAAACUGAGUAUAAUGCCCGAUAGAACACUAUACCUGGAAUGGUUUGUGUUCCAAAUGAAUGUCGCCGUAGGAUGGGACUGCGGCCUAUCAGUUUGUUGGUGAGGUAAUGGCCCACCAAGACUAUUACAGGUACGGGCUCUGAGAGGAGUAGCCCGGAGAUGGGUACUGAGACACGGACCCAGGCCCUAUGGGGCGCAGCAGGCGAGAAAACUUUGCAAUGUGCGAAAGCACGACAAGGUUAAUCCGAGUGGUUUGUGCUAAACGAACCUUUUGACAGUCCUAGAAACACUGUUGAAUAAGGGGUGGGCAAGUUCUGGUGUCAGCCGCCGCGGUAAAACCAGCACCUCAAGUGGUCAGGAUGAUUAUUGGGCCUAAAGCAUCCGUAGCCGGCUCUGUAAGUUUUCGGUUAAAUCUGUACGCUCAACGUACAGGCUGCCGGGAAUACUGCAGAGCUAGGGAGUGGGAGAGGUAGACGGUACUCGGUAGGAAGGGGUAAAAUCCUUUGAUCUAUUGAUGACCACCUGUGGCGAAGGCGGUCUACCAGAACACGUCCGACGGUGAGGGAUGAAAGCUGGGGGAGCAAACCGGAUUAGAUACCCGGGUAGUCCCAGCUGUAAACUAUGCAAACUCAGUGAUGCAUUGGCUUGUGGCCAAUGCAGUGCUGCAGGGAAGCCGUUAGGUUUGCCGCCUGGGAAGUACGUACGCAAGUAUGAAACUUAAAGGAAUUGGCGGGGGAGCACCACAAGGGGUGAAGCCUGCGGUUCAAUUGG